This 448-nucleotide long non-coding RNA is filed under the name Apteryx rowi (Okarito brown kiwi). RNAcentral describes it as "lncRNA (ENSARWG00000014541.1)". The record is from RNAcentral. Lineage: Eukaryota; Metazoa; Chordata; Aves; Apterygiformes; Apterygidae.
GACAGUGGAGAACAACAGGCCCCAUUUAAACAAUGGGAGGGAAUGCAUGAGGGGAAGGAAAGACAGGCACUGGGCCCAAACAUCUAAAAAAAUAAAAAUAAUUGCAUUUAUGUUGGGUGGGGGAGAGAGGGAAGAGUUUUUUGUUUUCAUUUGAGCCUGGUUUCCAAUUUCUGCCUUACAGAAGAGAAAAGCUAGCUUCCAAGGAAUCUGAAGGCAUAUAAAAUGUUUGAUGAAUGCACUGGGACCCUCCCCAUGCAAGCAGCUUUGGCUGUGGCUCACUGGCCUCCCACCAAAGAGCACCAGGACAUGUCUGCCGCGAUUCAGCCCAUGUAUCAACAUAACGAAAGGGGUCCCUUCAGUCAAGAAGUGGUUUUCCCUCAUGCUCAAGCAUUUACCAGCCUGGUUGCAGUGUGACCUCUGCAGGACACAGCUUAAGUGGCAUAAGUAA